RNAcentral lists this ribosomal RNA (249 nucleotides) under Salmonella enterica. Its description in RNAcentral is "partial 16S ribosomal RNA". It matches the Rfam family "Bacterial small subunit ribosomal RNA", at positions 1 to 246 of the family's 1533-position model. RNAcentral also lists the same sequence under 5 other names. The record is from RNAcentral. Lineage: Bacteria; Pseudomonadati; Pseudomonadota; Gammaproteobacteria; Enterobacterales; Enterobacteriaceae.
AAAUUGAAGAGUUUGAUCAUGGCUCAGAUUGAACGCUGGCGGCAGGCCUAACACAUGCAAGUCGAACGGUAACAGAGAGCAGCUUGCUGCUUUGCUGACGAGUGGCGGACGGGUGAGUAAUGUCUGGGAAACUGCCUGAUGGAGGGGGAUAACUACUGGAAACGGUGGCUAAUACCGCAUAACGUCGCAAGACCAAAGAGGGGGACCUUCGGGCCUCUUGCCAUCAGAUGUGCCCAGAUGGGAUUAGCU